This 755-nucleotide ribosomal RNA is filed under the name uncultured Actinobacteridae bacterium. RNAcentral describes it as "bacterial SSU rRNA". It matches the Rfam family "Bacterial small subunit ribosomal RNA", at positions 62 to 823 of the family's 1533-position model. Lineage: Bacteria; Bacillati; Actinomycetota; Actinomycetes. The record is from RNAcentral.
UCGAACGCUGAAGCUUGGUGCUUGCACUGGGUGGAUGAGUGGCGAACGGGUGAGUAAUACGUGAGUAACCUGCCCUUGACUCUGGGAUAAGCCUGGGAAACUGGGUCUAAUACUGGAUAUGACCUCCUGUCGCAUGGUGGGGGGUGGAAAGGGUUUGUACUGGUUGUGGAUGGGCUCACGGCCUAUCAGCUUGUUGGUGGGGUAAUGGCCUACCAAGGCGACGACGGGUAGCCGGCCUGAGAGGGUGACCGGCCACACUGGGACUGAGACACGGCCCAGACUCCUACGGGAGGCAGCAGUGGGGAAUAUUGCACAAUGGGCGCAAGCCUGAUGCAGCGACGCCGCGUGAGGGAUGACGGCCUUCGGGUUGUAAACCUCUUUCAGCACGGAAGAAGCGAAAGUGACGGUACGUGCAGAAGAAGCGCCGGCUAACUACGUGCCAGCAGCCGCGGUAAUACGUAGGGCGCAAGCGUUGUCCGGAAUUAUUGGGCGUAAAGAGCUCGUAGGCGGUUUGUCGCGUCUGCUGUGAAAGCCCGGGGCUUAACCCCGGGUGUGCAGUGGGUACGGGCAGACUUGAGUGCAGUAGGGGAGACUGGAACUCCUGGUGUAGCGGUGAAAUGCGCAGAUAUCAGGAAGAACACCGAUGGCGAAGGCAGGUCUCUGGGCUGUUACUGACGCUGAGGAGCGAAAGCAUGGGGAGCGAACAGGAUUAGAUACCCUGGUAGUCCACGCCGUAAACGUUGGGCACUAGGUGU